Molecule: ribosomal RNA, 497 nt
Filed under: uncultured bacterium
Lineage: Bacteria
Description: partial 16S ribosomal RNA
Rfam family: Bacterial small subunit ribosomal RNA
Source: RNAcentral
GAUGAACGCUGGCGGCGUGCCUAAUACAUGCAAGUCGAGCGAACAGACGAGGAGCUUGCUCCUCUGACGUUAGCGGCGGACGGGUGAGUAACACGUGGAUAACCUACCUAUAAGACUGGGAUAACUUCGGGAAACCGGAGCUAAUACCGGAUAAUAUAUUGAACCGCAUGGCUCAAUAGUGAAAUACGGUUUUGCUGUUACUUAUAGAUGGAUCCGCGCCGCAUUAGCUAGUUGGUAAGGUAACAGCUUACCAAGGCAACGAUGCGUAGCCGACCUGAGAGGGUGAUCGGCCACACUGGAACUGAGACACGGUCCAGACUCCUACGGGAGGCAGCAGUAGGGAAUCUUCCGCAAUGGGCGAAAGCCUGACGGAGCAACGCCGCGUGAGUGAUGAAGGUCUUCGGAUCGUAAAACUCUGUUAUUAGGGAAGAACAAAUGUGUAAGUAACUAUGCACGUCUUGACGGUACCUAAUCAGAAAGCCACGGCUAACUACGUG